Molecule: ribosomal RNA, 402 nt
Filed under: uncultured Phenylobacterium sp.
Lineage: Bacteria; Pseudomonadati; Pseudomonadota; Alphaproteobacteria; Caulobacterales; Caulobacteraceae
Description: bacterial SSU rRNA
Rfam family: Bacterial small subunit ribosomal RNA
Source: RNAcentral
UAGGGAAUCUUGCGCAAUGGGCGAAAGCCUGACGCAGCCAUGCCGCGUGAAUGAUGAAGGUCUUAGGAUUGUAAAAUUCUUUCACCGGGGACGAUAAUGACGGUACCCGGAGAAGAAGCCCCGGCUAACUUCGUGCCAGCAGCCGCGGUAAUACGAAGGGGGCUAGCGUUGCUCGGAAUUACUGGGCGUAAAGGGCGCGUAGGCGGACAGUUAAGUUAGAGGUGAAAGCCCAGGGCUCAACCUUGGAAUUGCCUUUGAUACUGGCUGUCUUGAGUACGGGAGAGGUGAGUGGAACUCCGAGUGUAGAGGUGAAAUUCGUAGAUAUUCGGAAGAACACCAGUGGCGAAGGCGACUCACUGGCCCGUUACUGACGCUGAGGCGCGAAAGCGUGGGGAGCAAACA